ACAGAGAUGGGUGCACAGUGCAGUCAGUGGGUGGGAGCUGAUGCUGGCUAGAAGACCUGAGUCUUCUGAGAGGCAGCUUGAUUCCUGGAAAAGACUACUGGGCUGGAAGUCAGGAGGCCUGGGGUAGUCUCACCUCUGCCGCUAACAUGCUGCAUGACCAUGGGUCCAGCUCAGCAUCUGGCUUACAGUAGGCACUCAGUGAAUGUUGAUGUGAACAAAUGAACUGAUUCAAAGAAGUGUCUCUUGAAGUUGCUUCUUUCCAAUCUAGCCAACAAAUGCAGUAUUCCAAAUGGAGGUACCAGAGAUCACAUCAUCUUCAGCUUUCUGCCACAGAUCCACAUGAAGAAACACACAUGGUGCAGCUAAAAUCCUUAAUGUUAGAUAGGACUUUGCAUUGGACACUUUAAAAUGUGAUGUCUGGCUUUGAAGAGGGCGUAUAACACAAAUUUACUGUGCAUCAAUCUCACUAAUGGAAAAUAAACAAUAGCCCAUACAUCA
Cercocebus atys (sooty mangabey) is the source of this 498-nucleotide long non-coding RNA. RefSeq lists it as uncharacterized. The record is from RefSeq and is a predicted model, not a curated record. The transcript has 2 exons. Lineage: Eukaryota; Metazoa; Chordata; Mammalia; Primates; Cercopithecidae.